UACGUAGGGAGCAAGCGUUGUCCGGAAUCAUUGGGCGUAAAGCGCGCGUAGGGGGCUCUAUAAGUCCGUUGUGAAAGUCAAAGGCUCAACCUUUGAAAGCCGAUGGAUACUGUGGAGCUAGAGUACGGAAGAGGCGAGUGGAAUUCCUGGUGUAGCGGUGGAAUGCGCAGAUAUCAGGAGGAACACCAAUAGCGAAGGCAGCUCGCUGGGACGUUACUGACACUGAGGCGCGAAAGCGUGGGGAGCAAACAGG
This 253-nucleotide ribosomal RNA is filed under the name uncultured bacterium. RNAcentral's name for it is "partial 16S ribosomal RNA". It matches the Rfam family "Bacterial small subunit ribosomal RNA", at positions 524 to 776 of the family's 1533-position model. The record is from RNAcentral.